Harmonia axyridis is the source of this 214-nucleotide long non-coding RNA. RefSeq lists it as uncharacterized. Lineage: Eukaryota; Metazoa; Arthropoda; Insecta; Coleoptera; Coccinellidae. The record is from RefSeq and is a predicted model, not a curated record. The transcript is spliced from 2 exons.
AAUACUGAAUGAAAAAUCGUAGUUUCCAGAUUAAUAAUCAGACCAUUGAAGCAUUUUUAACUAUUAACUCCUCAACAUCUCGAAUUGAUCUCCCUGAAGAUGGUCACAAUGAUGACCGAAAGCUAGGAUGGUACAAUAAAUGAGAUAGAUGAUAUAGAGUUUGACUACCAUACCCGAUAUCCUUAAAUUGUCAAUUUACUGUAGUCGAUAUAAA